UAUUUAUUUAAAAUUUGAUUCUGAUUCUUAAAAUCAAUUUUUUGAUUUUAGAGGUCAAAAAUAAAAAACAGUUAAAACAUGCUUCUUGAAAUUUGAUUCUGAUUUUGGACUUUAAAAUUAAAUUUUAGAUUCAAAAACUAAAAUUUAAAUUCAUAUCUUAAAUUUUAAAUUUUAAGUUUUAAAUUUUAAAUUUUAAAUUUGUAUUUAUUAUUUUCAAACACAAUUUUUUCUCGCCAAAUAGCUUUAACAAAUUUAUUUCAGAAAAAUUAUAUUUCUACUAGACUCAGCCAAACGCUGUAUAGCCUUUAACCAAAAUUAAUUCUCCAAGCUAAAAUUAAUUCUCCAGAAGUUACUUUUUCAAAAUCUAGGUAUUUCUUACAAGAGUAGAGCUACUGUGCUAUUGGAAGCAUAGAGGAUCUGGUGCUUCCGACAUUUUCGUCCUUAGAUCCGCUCCUUCAAUUAUUUCUAACAUUUGGAUUAAUACUAUUAUCCUGUAGGGACUACUCAGCCCUAGGGAUACUACUCAACCUUAGGAGAGACCGUAAUCAUCCCAGCCAAACAAUUCUUGAUCUAUGAGUCAAAAAAUCGAAAGCAUCAAAUUCUUUAUACUUCCGAUAGCAUAGUAGCUCUACACUUUGUUACAAUUUUUAAUUUUAAGACUUUUAUAAUAAUUGAGUUUUAUUUCAACAUUAAUGCAUG
Molecule: long non-coding RNA, 699 nt
Filed under: Ananas comosus (pineapple)
Lineage: Eukaryota; Viridiplantae; Streptophyta; Magnoliopsida; Poales; Bromeliaceae
Description: long non-coding RNA (ACOM_LNC026429)
Source: RNAcentral